This 482-nucleotide ribosomal RNA is filed under the name uncultured bacterium. Its description in RNAcentral is "partial 16S ribosomal RNA". It matches the Rfam family "Bacterial small subunit ribosomal RNA", at positions 30 to 507 of the family's 1533-position model. The record is from RNAcentral.
AUUGAACGCUGGCGGCAUGCCUUACACAUGCCAGUCGAACGGUAACAGGUCUUCGGAUGCUGACGAGUGGCGCACGGGUGAGUAAUACAUCGGAACGUGCCCGAUCGUGGGGGAUAACGAAGCGAAAGCUUUGCUAAUACCGCAUACGAUCUACGGAUGAAAGCAGGGGACCGCAAGGCCUUGCGCGAACGGAGCGGCCGAUGGCAGAUUAGGUAGUUGGUGGGAUAAAAGCUUACCAAGCCGACGAUCUGUAGCUGGUCUGAGAGGACGACCAGCCACACUGGGACUGAGACACGGCCCAGACUCCUACGGGAGGCAGCAGUGGGGAAUUUUGGACAAUGGGCGAAAGCCUGAUCCAGUCAUGCCGCGUGCAGGAUGAAGGCCUUCGGGUUGUAAACUGCUUUUGUACGGAACGAAAAGACUCUGGUUAAUACCUGGGGUCCAUGACGGUACCGUAAGAAUAAGCACCGGCUAACUACGUG